Molecule: ribosomal RNA, 430 nt
Filed under: uncultured bacterium
Lineage: Bacteria
Description: bacterial SSU rRNA
Rfam family: Bacterial small subunit ribosomal RNA
Source: RNAcentral
CAGUGAAACGGUUUUUCCGCCUAAAGAGAAGCUUGCGGCUGAUUAGCUUGUUGGUAAGGUAAUGGCUUACCAAGGCGACGAUCAGUAUCUGGUUUGAGAGGACGAUCAGACACACUGGAACUGAGACACGGUCCAGACUCCUACGGGAGGCAGCAGUGGGGAAUUUUCCGCAAUGGGCGAAAGCCUGACGGAGCAAUACCGCGUGAGGGAUGAAUGCCUAUGGGUUGUAAACCUCUUUUUUCAGGGAGGAACAAAAUGACGUGUACCUGAAGAAUAAGCAUCGGCUAACUCCGUGCCAGCAGCCGCGGUAAGACGGAGGAUGCAAGUGUUAUCCGGAAUCACUGGGCGUAAAGCGUCUGUAGGUGGUUUAAUAAGUCAACUGUUAAAUCUUGAGGCUCAACCUCGAAACCGCAGUCGAAACUAUUAGACU